UACGUAGGGGGCAAGCGUUGUCCGGAAUCAUUGGGCGUAAAGCGCGUGUAGGCGGCCCGGUAAGUCCGCUGUGAAAGUCCAGGGCUCAACCCUCGAAUGCCGGUGGAUACUGUCGGGCUAGAGUGCGGAAGAGGCGAGUGGAAUUCCUGGUGUAGCGGUGAAAUGCGCAGAUAUCAGGAGGAACACCUAUUGCGAAGGCAGCUCGCUGGGACGUAACUGACGCUGAGACGCGAAAGCGUGGGGAGCAAACAGG
RNAcentral lists this ribosomal RNA (253 nucleotides) under uncultured bacterium. RNAcentral's name for it is "partial 16S ribosomal RNA". It matches the Rfam family "Bacterial small subunit ribosomal RNA", at positions 524 to 776 of the family's 1533-position model. The record is from RNAcentral.